AUCUAGAAUUAAGACACUGAGUGGGAAGAGAGAUACAAAUAUGUCCAUAGAAAUAUGGAAGGUUUUAAGCCAGAAAAUCCUUAAAUGAAGGUCUGUAGCAGUAUCUCUCCAGAUAUUUAAAAAUACAAUGAUCACCAAAAUAUGCUAUAAAUGUUUAAAAUGGACUCCUAUCGAAAGUUCAGAGGUUAAAGAUGAUGUUGUUUAUGGUACUCCUAGAAAUUGAUUCUUCUUUAUUUUUUCUUUUCGUUGAGUUUAAUUGCCACUAGAAUUAUUUUCAAGUUAAGAAGAUAAGAGGAUUGACUUUUUAAACUUCAAAAUGAACUUCCCUGCUGUGACUGACUAUAUUCCCCAGUAUGGAGAAUUAUGAGGAACCUGUUGAACAGAAAAGUCUCUGACCAUAAUCAAGGUCACACAGUCAGAAGGCAUCCCAGCAGACACUCCACACUAGCCAAUGUGGAUUCAGAGACUGCACCCUUGAUUACUGUGUUGUUUGAUGAUACUAGUGCACCUUCAUGAAUCAGAACUUUCCAUAUAUGGAGGUUAUUCAGCAUGUCCUUUGUGAGUAAUGGUUACAGGUAUAAGGUGCAUACAGGUAGAUGUGAAGAAGGCAGUGGAGGAUAACAGGAAAAUGGAAGAGAAUGAGGAAAUGUAUGGUCCUGUGGAAGAAACACUGGAAUUAAGUUUAAAAACAUCUGAGGAAGAUAGAAAACAUUUUAUCUUUCAAGAUAAAAAAAGAAAAGCUCUUUGCCAACAGAAAACAUAAUAUGCGGACUCUAUGGCUAUUGUUUCUGAAAAAUAUAAGAGAUGAUUACAUCACAUUGUGUAUUCUGUAGGAAAAACACUGUAAUGCUUAUAUGGCUAAUAAUGGAAUGAUCUAAGUCAAUAUAUUGUGCAGUUUUGAGUGACAGAAGAAUUACACCAUUAUUCUUUGUAUUUUGGUUUCUGCACUAAGUUAGUCAUGUUCACUGUUUCAUCAUCAAUUAUCAUUCACUCAUUUUAUAAAAUUUUAGCAUCUGCAUUUAAUGUUACUGUAUGGUUUCUGUUUACUACAGCUGGUUGCAAUAGACACAGAUGACAAUUUCAGAGCUGUGUAUAAAAGGUCACAAAAAGUAAACAUUCAAAACAGAAACAUCUUACUUCCAGAAAGUAUAAAAUUGACGUAUGAGUAAGAUGUCAAAAGUUAUGAAAACUGGAAUGUGUUCAUCUCAUUACAUGUAAAUGCAUCUAUUUGAAAAAUGUGUUUUUUAAAGUAGAUCAUUAGGUAACAUUAGUCUUAAAAAUCAUAAAUUCUCCAUCAUUAUGAUUGUUCUAUGUUACCAAUUACAUAUAAAUGUUAAAUUACAGAGAAAACAAAUAGAAAAUAAUCAUCACAUGUUUAAAAAUUUGCAAAAAUAUAAAAAGUUAUAAAAAAAUUCAGUUCAAGAAGUAGAACAAAGGGCAUAAAAAUAGUACUUACUGUAAAGACAAAACCACAUAAUUUAUAUAAUACAUAUUUUAUAGAAUUUUAGUUAUACUACACACACACAUGCACACACACACACACACACACACACACACACACUAAAUGCUAAAAUGUGGAAUAAAAAAUUUACAGUGGGAGGGCAGGCAGAACAAGGUGACAAGAUAGCUAUACCUCCAAAUCUAUAUCCUCCAUCACCAAGACUUAUCUUGAAGUGUUAAACCUAGAAGUGUAUCCAGUAACCAGCCUUCAGAAGAAUAUUUUUUCCAAAGUGCUGUUGAAUUAAAAUCAUAAACAGCUAAUGGAAUAGGAAUGAAAUAAUUAUUUUCUUUCAUUUGCUGGAGAAAAUACUGAGCUAUGAGCUUUUCUUUUCACUACUGGGGUUAAAAUUUUAAGCAUUCUAUUCUUAAAGGAGUGUCUUUUUUCUAAAGAUUUACGUUCAGCAGCUGAAUUUUAAAGCUCUGAGAACACAGCAGUUAUAUGUUAAGCCUAGUGCAAACCUGACCUAGAUUAUUUUCACUGGCUAAAAAUUAUGAAAAAUAUCAAUAAUUUUAUUGGCAAAAAGAUACAUAGAAUAAGUAGUAAUCUUAAGAACUGAACAAGGCAUCCAGACAUACUGAAAAAUAUGGGGCAAAGCAAUUAGAGAAAAAUUAGUCAUUUUCUUCUAGAUAGAUUAUAUAUUCUUUAACAGUAAGGUUUAUGACUAUUAUCUUUAUUUCCCCACCUGCUCUUCCAGGAAUAGCUGCAUAUAAUAGUUACUAAAUACAUAUUUUUAAAUUAUCAGGUUUCCUUUUAAUUCAUGUAACGUUUUAAUCUGUAAAUGUAAUCACAGAAAGUCACCUCAUUUUUAGCUUUACUGAUUGGAGAUGAGGAUUGAUAUUACGAUAAGAGUGAUAUAACAUAUGGUAGACCUAAGUGCAUGAAUUUUGUAUUCCCAGGUAUCAUUUAAAUUUCCUGUCAUUUUAUGUUGUUAUUUGUAAUAUCUUUGUGUUAACAUGCCUCAUGGUAAUUUAGGAGCAGUGACACAGUCUUACUAAAAAAAUGCUAGGGCUCUUGGCUUAAAAUGUUCACUUGCAUUUAAUAUUACAGAAAUUUACAUGUUGGGAUUAAGUGGCCUGAAAAUGUAAGAUAAAAUGGAAGUAAUGCAACCUACUGCAAUAAUAUUGUGCCAAUAUUCAGGCAGGGCACAGAGGAAAAACACAACAGGUUUUGAAACCAGUCAAAUUAAUCACAGCCUAAGCUGGACAAGAGAGAGGGAACAAUUGCUAUUCAUCAGAUCAUGCUGUGAUGAUGAAGGAAACAGAUCUGAUAAUUUGAUUACUGGGCUAUAGAUACAGAAUUUUGGAAAUCUUUCUCAAGUAACUAACUUCUGGGAAUGUGUGCAAGUAUUUCUAUGGCUUGGAAGUAGGAGUUGAAUCGCUCUUAUAACUCGUAUGUUUUAAGGUGAGCAACCCAGACACAACAAAAACUGUUCAAAUAUGAGAUCAAGCAAUAAUUCAUGAUUCACAGACAACAAUCAGGGAAAGGGAGCUAAUAGUAUGAAACUGAUGAACAGAAUAUCAGAGUAGUAGCCCUUGAGGUAUUAUGAGCCAGAGAUCUAUACAUGCAAUUAUAGGCUUCCACUUUUCAUUUUAAUGUCAUGUUAACCCCUUAAAACCUUUUAUUUGUGUCCAAUAGAAUCAAUGUACCUAAUAGUCAUUCACCUCAUAGACUCUACCUCAGGGUGGUAAUUUGAGAGCCUGGAAUGCCAGCUGAGGGAAGACAUGGGAAGACAGCCAAGAUCAGCACUGCCUUUCUGUCAGCCCCUACUUGAUUUUCCUUGCAUCAGUGGUGCUAUCUAAAGGAAUUGCUAAAUGGACUGAUGGAUGUAUUUGUUAAUAAUGACUUUAUCUAUAUAAUGAAGUGAUGGUUGGUAUUCCUGGCCUCUGAGAAUUUUUGAAUCCAGAUUUUAUAAAAUAUAUAAGUCUUGCAUUACUCUGAGGCAGCAAGACAGUGUAUCUCUUUGAAAUGAAGGUGAACUUGACUAAAAUUUCAGGUCUAACAUUUUCUAGCUGUAUGACUUUGGACACCUCGGUUAUUCUCUUUUCCUCACUUUCUUCUUUUAUAAAAUGGAGAUGUUACAUGUCCAUUUAUAUGGUUCAUAUAGCAAACACUUCAUAUGGUUGCUGUAAAGAGAAAAUGAAAUCAUCUAUGUGAACUGCUUACUGGAAUACUGACAGGUAGAAGAUGCUUACUUGUUAAUAGCUAUUUCUAUGGCCACAAGAUGCUCUUAACUAUUUAAAAGCUUCAUCAUUUGAAAGUGAAUACUAUUAUUUAAACUUGAGAGCUAUCAAAUGCAUUUCAUAUUUUCUGUUUGAAAAAUAUGAUGUAAAAUAAAUUAAUACCAAGGAAAUAUUGGUAGUUCACAAAGUCAUUUGCAAUAGUCUCCCAAGACUGAAUACUUUGGGGCACCAAAUUAUGGAAGGCUAGAUAAGUGCUUCUGCAUUUUAAUAAGUGAAGCUGAUACUACAACUUUUUAAAGUAAUGAUGUAUUUUCAUGGCUCCUGUCUCUGUAAAAGCCAAGUGUUCAAAGAAAUGCAUUAAAAAAUUAAUGGAUAUACGAA
Molecule: long non-coding RNA, 4062 nt
Filed under: Homo sapiens (human)
Lineage: Eukaryota; Metazoa; Chordata; Mammalia; Primates; Hominidae
Description: uncharacterized LOC105377178, transcript variant 4 (LOC105377178)
Source: RNAcentral